AUUGAACGCUGGCGGCAUGCCUUACACAUGCAAGUCGAACGGCAGCGGACCUUCGGGUGCCGGCGAGUGGCGAACGGGUGAGUAAUAUAUCGGAACGUACCUUUCAGUGGGGGAUAACGUAGCGAAAGUUACGCUAAUACCGCAUAUUCUGUGAGCAGGAAAGCAGGGGAUCGCAAGACCUUGCGCUGAUUGAGCGGCCGAUAUCAGAUUAGCUAGUUGGUGAGGUAAAGGCUCACCAAGGCGACGAUCUGUAGCGGGUCUGAGAGGAUGAUCCGCCACACUGGAACUGAGACACGGUCCAGACUCCUACGGGAGCAGCAGUGGGGAAUUUUGGACAAUGGGCGCAAGCCUGAUCCAGCCAUGCCGCGUGAGUGAACGAAGGCCUGGUGUUAAGAC
Molecule: ribosomal RNA, 396 nt
Filed under: uncultured bacterium
Lineage: Bacteria
Description: bacterial SSU rRNA
Rfam family: Bacterial small subunit ribosomal RNA
Source: RNAcentral